CAGAAGGUCAGUAGUUGCGUGUCUCUGCGUCGUCACGCCUGUGUCGUUUUCCCUGCCUCCUGUCCUCUCCGCCAGCGUUUUGUCAUCUCACGUCAUCCUAAGAAGGCACCAACGAGACCCUGGAAGCCAACGAGAUGACUGCCAGCAUAAAAGAUGAAAGACCUACUUGAACAUUUG
Manis javanica (Malayan pangolin) is the source of this 177-nucleotide non-coding RNA. The record is from RefSeq and is a predicted model, not a curated record. Lineage: Eukaryota; Metazoa; Chordata; Mammalia; Pholidota; Manidae.